Molecule: long non-coding RNA, 263 nt
Filed under: Arachis ipaensis
Lineage: Eukaryota; Viridiplantae; Streptophyta; Magnoliopsida; Fabales; Fabaceae
Description: long non-coding RNA (AIPA_LNC001723)
Source: RNAcentral
UCAAAGCCAUUAGCAAAUUUGAACAAAAAAAUUAGGAGCCAUCAGCAAAACCAGCAAUUAGAAAACAAAGCCAGCAAUUACAAAACACUAAACCUUCACCCAGCAAUUACAAACAAAGCUAGCAAAACCAACAUAACCAGCAACUACAAAUCAAAGCAAAACCAGCAACUACAACACAAUGAAAAACAGAUAUGAAAUUAAAAAGAGCCCCACAACACAAUGAACAAUAACAAGUUAGGAGCCAUCAGCAAUUAAAAACAGGA